GACGAACGCUGGCGGCGUGCUUAUCACAUGCAAGUCGAACGGAAAGGCCCUGCUUUUGUGGGGUGCUCGAGUGGCGAACGGGUGAGUAACACGUGAGUAACCUGCCCUUGACUUUGGGAUAACUUCAGGAAACUGGGGCUAAUACCGGAUAGGAGCUCCUGCUGCAUGGUGGGGGUUGGAAAGUUUCGGCGGUUGGGGAUGGACUCGCGGCUUAUCAGCUUGUUGGUGGGGUAGUGGCUUACCAAGGCUUUGACGGGUAGCCGGCCUGAGAGGGUGACCGGCCACAUUGGGACUGAGAUACGGCCCAGACUCCUACGGGAGGCAGCAGUGGGGAAUAUUGCACAAUGGGCGGAAGCCUGAUGCAGCAACGCCGCGUGCGGGAUGACGGCCUUCGGGUUGUAAACCGCUUUCGCCUGCGACGAAGCGUGAGUGACGGUAAUGGGUAAAGAAGCACCGGCUAACUACGUG
Molecule: ribosomal RNA, 468 nt
Filed under: uncultured bacterium
Lineage: Bacteria
Description: partial 16S ribosomal RNA
Rfam family: Bacterial small subunit ribosomal RNA
Source: RNAcentral